AUUGAACGCUGGCGGCAGGCCUAACACAUGCAAGUCGAGCGGAUGAAGGGAGCUUGCUCCUGGAUUCAGCGGCGGACGGGUGAGUAAUGCCUAGGAAUCUGCCUGGUAGUGGGGGAUAACUUCCGGAAACUGGCGCUAAUACCGCAUACGUCCUGAGGGAGAAAGUGGGGGAUCUUCGGACCUCGCGCUAUCAGAUGAGCCUAGGUCUGAUUAGCUAGUUGGUGGGGUAAAGGCCUACCAAGGCGACGAUCCGUAACUGGUCUGAGAGGAUGAUCAGUCACACUGGAACUGAGACACGGUCCAGACUCCUACGGGAGGCAGCAGUGGGGAAUAUUGGAAAAUGGGCGAAAGCCUGAUCCAGCCAUGCCGCGUGUGUGAAGAAGGUCUUCGGAUUGUAAAGCACUUUAAGUUGGGAGGAAGGGCAGUAAGUUAAUACCUUGCUGUUUUGACGUUACCAACAGAAUAAGAACCGGCUAACUUCGUG
RNAcentral lists this ribosomal RNA (484 nucleotides) under uncultured bacterium. RNAcentral's name for it is "partial 16S ribosomal RNA". It matches the Rfam family "Bacterial small subunit ribosomal RNA", at positions 30 to 507 of the family's 1533-position model. The record is from RNAcentral.